This 301-nucleotide ribosomal RNA is filed under the name uncultured bacterium. Its description in RNAcentral is "partial 16S ribosomal RNA". It matches the Rfam family "Bacterial small subunit ribosomal RNA", at positions 509 to 807 of the family's 1533-position model. The record is from RNAcentral.
CAGCAGCCGCGGUAAUACGUAGGGUGCGAGCGUUAAUCGGAAUUACUGGGCGUAAAGCGUGCGCAGGCGGUUUUGUAAGACAGGCGUGAAAUCCCCGGGCUCAACCUGGGAAUGGCGCUUGUGACUGCAAAGCUAGAGUGCGGCAGAGGGGGAUGGAAUUCCGCGUGUAGCAGUGAAAUGCGUAGAUAUGCGGAGGAACACCGAUGGCGAAGGCAAUCCCCUGGGCCUGCACUGACGCUCAUGCACGAAAGCGUGGGGAGCAAACAGGAUUAGAUACCCGCGUAGUCCCUGUCUCUUAUAC